Molecule: ribosomal RNA, 693 nt
Filed under: Rhinoleucophenga bivisualis
Lineage: Eukaryota; Metazoa; Arthropoda; Insecta; Diptera; Drosophilidae
Description: partial 16S ribosomal RNA
Source: RNAcentral
ACAAAUCAUNAAUAGCAAACUUCCANUUAGNGAUGAUACUAUUUCUAUAAAAACAAGUACUAUUUGUAAUUUAAAUUACAUAAAUAAAUUCUAAAUUUAUUGCACUAUUCUGCCAAAAUAGCAAUUAUUAAUAAUAUUCUUUUUUAAAAAUAUAAUUAUUUUAAUAUUUAAUCCUUUCGUACUAAAAUAUUAUAAUUUAUUAAAGAUAGAAACCAACCUGGCUUACACCGGUUUGAACUCAGAUCAUGUAAGAAUUUAAAAGUCGAACAGACUUAAAAUUUGAACGGCUACACCCAAAAUUAUAUCUUAAUCCAACAUCGAGGUCGCAAUCUUUUUUAUCGAUAUGAACUCUCCAAAAAAAUUACGCUGUUAUCCCUAAAGUAACUUAAUUUUUUAAUCAAUAAUAAAGGAUCAAUUAUUCAUAAAUUAAUGUUAUUUAAAAAUUAAAAGUUUUUUAAAUUUUAAUAUCACCCCAAUAAAAUAUUUUAAAUUAUAAUAAUAAAAAUAAUCUUAUUAAUUAAAAUAAAUAAAAUAUAAAGAUUUAUAGGGUCUUCUCGUCUUUUAAAAAAAUUUUAGCUUUUUGACUAAAAAAUAAAAUUCUAUUAUAAAUUUAAAUGAAACAGUUAAUAUUUCGUCCAACCAUUCAUACCAGCCUUCAAUUAAAAGACUAAUGAUUAUGCUACCUUUGCACAG